GACGAACGCUGGCGGCGUGCUUAACACAUGCAAGUCGAACGGAAAGGCCCUGCUUGCAGGGUACUCGAGUGGCGAACGGGUGAGUAACACGUGGGUGAUCUGCCCUGCACUUCGGGAUAAGCCUGGGAAACUGGGUCUAAUACCGGAUAGGAGCCAUUUUUAGUGUGAUGGUUGGAAAGUUUUUUCGGUGUAGGAUGAGCUCGCGGCCUAUCAGCUUGUUGGUGGGGUAAUGGCCUACCAAGGCGGCGACGGGUAGCCGGCCUGAGAGGGUGGACGGCCACAUUGGGACUGAGAUACGGCCCAGACUCCUACGGGAGGCAGCAGGGGGGAAUAUUGCACAAGGGGCGCAAGCCUGAUGCAGCGACGCCGCGGGGGGGAUGACGGCCUUCGGGUUGAAAACUCCUUUCGCUAGGGACGAAGCUUUUUGUGACGGUACCUAGAGAAGAAGCACCGGCUAACUACGUG
Molecule: ribosomal RNA, 465 nt
Filed under: uncultured bacterium
Lineage: Bacteria
Description: partial 16S ribosomal RNA
Rfam family: Bacterial small subunit ribosomal RNA
Source: RNAcentral